AAUAGAUACCCCGGUAGUCCACCCCGUAAACGUUGGGAACUAGUUGUGGGGUCCUUUCCACGGAUUCCGUGACGCAGCUAACGCAUUAAGUUCCCCGCCUGGGGAGUACGGCCGCAAGGCUAAAACUCAAAAGGAAUUGACGGGGACCCGCACAAGCGGCGGAGCAUGCGGAUUAAUUCGAUGCAACGCGAAGAACCUUACCAAGGCUUGACAUACACCAGAACACCCUAGAAAUAGGGGACUCUUUGGACACUGGUGAACAGGUGGUGCAUGGUUGUCGUCAGCUCGUGUCGUGAGAUGUUGGGUUAAGUCCCGCAACGAGCGCAACCCUCGUUCUAUGUUGCCAGCACGUAAUGGUGGGAACUCAUGGGAUACUGCCGGGGUCAACUCGGAGGAAGGUGGGGAUGACGUCAAAUCAUCAUGCCCCUUAUGUCUUGGGCUUCACGCAUGCUACAAUGGCCGGUACAAAGGGCUGCAAUACCGUGAGGUGGAGCGAAUCCCAAAAAGCCGGUCCCAGUUCGGAUUGAGGUCUGCAACUCGACCUCAUG
Molecule: ribosomal RNA, 548 nt
Filed under: uncultured bacterium
Lineage: Bacteria
Description: bacterial SSU rRNA
Rfam family: Bacterial small subunit ribosomal RNA
Source: RNAcentral